This 529-nucleotide ribosomal RNA is filed under the name uncultured bacterium. RNAcentral's name for it is "bacterial SSU rRNA". It matches the Rfam family "Bacterial small subunit ribosomal RNA", at positions 777 to 1304 of the family's 1533-position model. The record is from RNAcentral.
AAUAGAUACCCCGGUAGUCCACGCCGUAAACGAUGAGUGCUAAGUGUUAGAGGGUUUCCGCCCUUUAGUGCUGAAGUUAACGCAUUAAGCACUCCGCCUGGGGAGUACGGCCGCAAGGCUGAAACUCAAAGGAAUUGACGGGGGGCCCGCACAAGCGGUGGAGCAUGUGGUUUAAUUCGAAGCAACGCGAAGAACCUUACCAGGUCUUGACAUCCUCUGACAACCCUAGAGAUAGGGCUUCUCCUUCGGGAGCAGAGUGACAGGUGGUGCAUGGUUGUCGUCAGCUCGUGUCGUGAGAUGUUGGGUUAAGUCCCGCAACGAGCGCAACCCUUGAUCUUAGUUGCCAUCAUUAAGUUGGGCACUCUAAGGUGACUGCCGGUGACAAACCGGAGGAAGGUGGGGAUGACGUCAAAUCAUCAUGCCCCUUAUGACCUGGGCUACACACGUGCUACAAUGGACGGUACAAAGAGCUGCAAGACCGCGAGGUGGAGCUAAUCUCAUAAAACCCGUUCUCAGUUCGGAUUGUAGG